GCGGCGAAAGCCGUAGUUGGUACGAAAAUCCCUCGCUCGUAAGAGCGUGCCGGUUCGAUUCCGGCUGGCCGCACCA
Molecule: transfer RNA, 76 nt
Filed under: Noviherbaspirillum autotrophicum
Lineage: Bacteria; Pseudomonadati; Pseudomonadota; Betaproteobacteria; Burkholderiales; Oxalobacteraceae
Description: tRNA-OTHER
Source: RNAcentral